UUCUGCCUCUCCGUGUCCCCCCCCCCUUUUGCCAACUCUGAUUCUCGGUCCAAUGAGACGGAGGUGAGACCCCCCAGGAGGCCGAGGGUGGCUUGGCAGGCGUGGAAUCCAGAAGAGGAAGAGGAGAACCAGGUGGAGAUCAUACGUCCACGUGAGUAAUUGGUGGGAAGCACUGGGGACAGCAGUCAUGCUCUACUCAAAGCUGGCAGCCACUUUUUCUGGCACCACCUUUUCUGAAACCCCCCUCCCCAGCAUGGAGUCCAGCUCUAGCUAAAGGGAUCGUGGUACCAUGGAAUCCUGGAAUGGUUGGGUGUGGAGGGGCCUCAAAGCCCUCACGGGCCCAGCCCCUGCCGUGGGCUGGUUGCCACCCACUAGAUCAGGCUGCCCGUGGCCCCAUACAGCCUUGCCUUUAGCACCUCCAAGGAUGGGGCACCUGCGGCUUCUCUGGGCAGCCUGUGCCAGUGCCAACCUCUCCCAGCCUGUUGGGAUGGCUGACGAGAGGCUGCUGCGCUGGCAGGAGGUACCCGCAUUUCCGCAGUCAGGCUCAGGGAAGCUGGCAGGAUGGAUGGCUCCGUGCAACACGCUGGGGCCAUUCCUUCCGUCACUCCUUCCCUUCAGCCCCUCUCCAUGGUGCUCAUUGUUCUCCUCCUUGCUUAGGUACUACCAUAUGGGAGCUGUGGAGAAAAGCGGCCAUUCUAUGCAUCGGUGAGUUUCUGAAGAGACAGGACAAGGUAAGAGCAGCUGCUUCCACUGUGGUGCCCCUGCUGUUCUCCAGGCUGCUGCCCUGCAGGCAUUGCACCGCGCCCCACGAUGCUUGGGGUCCUGCUGGCCAUUGAUCUCACCUUCAUGCUCCCUCUUGUUCCCUCUGCGACCACCAGGAUGAGCGACAGAAAAUCAAAUUCCUGAGCAGCAUCUGCGUACUGUGCAAAUGCAAGGACACGUCGCUCGACUUGAAUACUUUCUGCCGAGAAAACCAGCUGGCAGAGAAUGUCCAGGUGAGGAGAUAUGCACUGGGCUGGAGACGGGGGCAUGGACCCCCUGCACCUUGUGUGGACAGGACUGGCACGGGGAGAAGUGAGCACGGACGUGGAACUGUCUUCUGGUGGCUGCCACAUCCCGUCCCUCCUGUGUUCUGUAGGCGCUGAUCGAUGAGGAGGCCAUGCACGCUUUGUGCUCAGUGAUAAAGCAGAAAGUCAUGCUGACCUUUGCUGACAUGAGGUAGCUGCCCAGGCCCACAUUUGGCUAGCACGGCCCCAGGGCAGGCUCCUGGUGGCCUCGAAGCUGGCAGGGAGGUUCCCUCCUCCGCGUGGAGGGCCAUGUCCUCCUUGGCAAAGCCUCAAGGCACAGUGUCCAACAGGCUCCUCUCUCCCCUUCCAGCACUGUGGAGACAGCACUGGAAGGCAAAACAGAGAGCAUCCUGAAUUCCUGCUUCAACAGUGUCUUCUUUUUGCCUCCGGAACUGGACGUACCAGAAGAGGAGCAAACUCUCUACACUAAGACCAUGAUUGCCAUGAACGUCAUGCUGCGAGCCUUGGUGCACAACUGCCCCAGCUCCAGAAUGAGGGAGGAGAUGUGCAGCAUCUUUCAGGCUCUGCUCCACUUCUUCCACUCCCAGCACAUGCACGUUCGUACGAGAGCCCUGUACGGGGUUUUACGGAUGAUCACGGACUUUAUAGAAAAAGACUGGUACUGCGCUGCAAAUUGCGGGUUUAUAUAUGAGUCACUCAUCGAGGUCUACUUCCCAAUCCUGGGACAGCUGCUGGGUCACCUCUGCCUUUUCAGUUGUGGCCAACAUGCCACCAGAGUUCCAGCUACAGAUGCUCUUUAUCGCCUCUAUGCAUUUGUCAAACGCGAUAGAAGAACAGCCCUGACAGAGGAGAUGGAAAAGUACGUGCAUCUCCGGGAGAAGCUGCAGGAUACUAAUUUUGCAUGCGAUAACUUGUGCAGUCCCAGUGAUUGUGCCAAGGUAACCUUCUGCCUUGCUGAGGAUCUCGUCCACAGCAUCAGCAGGAAAUGUUUGUGAGCAAAGGGAGUGUCACGGCAGCAGAUCCAGCCCUCCAGGCUGUCAGCAAGCCCUUCUUACCGACUGCCCAUGCCCCCGC
This is a long non-coding RNA of Gallus gallus (chicken), 2102 nucleotides long. The record is from Ensembl. NCBI's taxonomy places the organism in Eukaryota, Metazoa, Chordata, Aves, Galliformes, Phasianidae.